CCUACGGGAGGCAGCAGUGGGGAAUAUUGCACAAUGGGGGAAACCCUGAUGCAGCGACGCCGCGUGAGUGAAGAAGUAUUUCGGUACGUAAAGCUCUAUCAGCAGGGAAGAAAAAAAGUCCUUUGGACUUUGGACGGUACCUGACCAAGAAGCCCCGACUAACUUCGUGCCAGCAGCCGGGGUAAUACGUAGGGGGCAAGCGUUAUCCGGAUUUACUGGGUGUAAAGGGAGCGUAGACGGCGGCGCAAGUCUGGAGUGAAAUGCCGGGGCCCAAACCCGGAACUGCUUUGGAAACUGGGCAGCUGGAGUGCAGGAGAGGUAAGCGGAAUUCCUAGUGUAGCGGUGAAAUGCGUAGAUAUUAGGAGGAACACCAGUGGCGAAGGCGGCUUACUGGACUGUAACUGACGUUGAGGCUCGAAAGCGUGGGGAGCAAACAGGAUUAGAUACCCGGGUAGUC
RNAcentral lists this ribosomal RNA (457 nucleotides) under uncultured bacterium. RNAcentral's name for it is "partial 16S ribosomal RNA". It matches the Rfam family "Bacterial small subunit ribosomal RNA", at positions 338 to 795 of the family's 1533-position model. The record is from RNAcentral.